Molecule: long non-coding RNA, 899 nt
Organism: Athene cunicularia (burrowing owl)
Lineage: Eukaryota; Metazoa; Chordata; Aves; Strigiformes; Strigidae
Exons: 3
Source: RefSeq, a predicted model, not a curated record
UGUGCUGAUGAGCAGAGCAAUAGCAGAGCAAUAGUUAUGAGUCCCUGAGUGCUCAGCAGAGUUAAUGAGCCUGUGCACAGGUUGGGUGAGUGCUGUGCCCGAGCCGGCUCCUUUCAGCUGGGCUGGGGAGCUGAGCCGUGCCCCGGUGAUGCUGAAAGGUCCCAGGGCUGUUUUGAGGAGUACGCAGAGGAUGAUAAAACCAGCGCGGCUUCAACUGGAGAGGAGAUACAAGUCCCAAGCCUGCCAGUCAUCUGCACUGAGAUCCUGCCACCUUGUCGUCUCUGUUUCCUCUUUCUUCCAGAAGGAAGCAGCUGGAAAAAACAGAGGUCUCCAGAACCAAACUGUAGGUGAUGUCUCCAUCUCAAAGAAAGGGUUAUAUAUGUGUACAUUUGAGGGCUGAAGAAACCAGAGGUCUGCGCAUGUUUGUGAAGAUGCAGCACGUCUUUGGGAAAGUCUGUCUCCUUGCUGGAACAGCCCUCAAAACUCAUGGUGUUGGGGUAAAGAGUUGGGACAAGGGAUCAAGUUAGUCACGUCCAGUUUGGCAGCUGAUGCUCCAGCUAGGACUUCUUCUCCAGAGAUGUUGUCAUCUGGGCUUUUCCUCCCAGUGCCUCCCUGAUGGUCUGCUGGGCUUCUUGAGCAGCAGAAGGAGGAGAAGGAGGAGAUGGAGGAGGAAGAAGAGGAGAAGGAGGAGAGUGCUUGCUCUUCUGGGGAUUUUACAGCACCUGUGCCUGCUCCUUGAGCUUCCUACCACAUCCUUCUCUGUAGAAGGAUCUCACUCUCCGUGCUGCUGUCUGGUCUCAUUCUUCCCCCAUGGCUCCUACCUCACUCUUGGAAGAGAGGUCCUGCAUCUCCUACAGCUUUAAUUCAUCCACCUCUCACUGUGCAAGACACAAGAGCAA